UACGGAGGAUGCAAGCGUUAUCCGGAUUUACUGGGUUUAAAGGGUGCGCAGGCGGAACGACAAGUCAGUGGUGAAAUCUCCUGGCUCAACCAGGAAACUGCCAUUGAUACUAUCGUUCUUGAGUCCAGUUGAAGUAGGCGGAAUGUAGCAUGUAGCGGUGAAAUGCUUAGAUAUGCUACAGAGCACCGAUAGCGAAGGCAGCUUACUAAACUGAAACUGACGCUCAUGCACGAAAGCGUGGGGAUCAAACA
Molecule: ribosomal RNA, 251 nt
Filed under: uncultured prokaryote
Description: partial 16S ribosomal RNA
Rfam family: Bacterial small subunit ribosomal RNA
Source: RNAcentral